This 332-nucleotide ribosomal RNA is filed under the name uncultured Bacillota bacterium. RNAcentral's name for it is "bacterial SSU rRNA". It matches the Rfam family "Bacterial small subunit ribosomal RNA", at positions 28 to 351 of the family's 1533-position model. The record is from RNAcentral. Lineage: Bacteria; Bacillati; Bacillota.
GACGAACGCUGGCGGCGUGCUUAACACAUGCAAGUCGAACGGUACCAAUUUGGUAGUAAUAUCGAAUUGGUAUAGUGGCGGACGGGUGAGUAACGCGUGAGCAAUCUACCUUAGAGUGGGGGACAACAUUCGGAAACGGAUGCUAAUACCGCAUAAGACCACACUGUCUCAUGGCAGAGGGGUCAAAGGAGUAAUCCGCUUUAAGAUGAGCUCGCGUCCCAUUAGCUAGUUGGUGAGGUAACGGCCCACCAAGGCGACGAUGGGUAGCCGACCUGAGAGGGUGAUCGGCCACACUGGAACUGAGACACGGUCCAGACUCCUACGGGAGGCAG